ACUCGUACAGGUGCAGUGAAGUUACUUGUAUGUAGCGCUAAAUGCGUCUCAUGUUUUAUGUGAUUUUCUCAUCUUUAUAAAAGUAACCCAAAUAGGCAGUCCUACUAGGCCAAAAAGAAAAAAAAAGCUUUUUUUAUAGCAUUAAAGUUGUCUCAAUAUCACCAAAAGUUGAUCAAAAAAAGUUUGACGAAACCUAUUCAUAUGAGAUAUAGUUUUAAAGAGCUCUUCGUCAGGAACCAAGCCGUCAAAACGGAUCUCAAUUGUGACACUCGAUUUAAAAGAUGUAGCUUUCUGAAAAAAAUAAACGUAAUUAAUUGCACUCAAGGAGGGAAUCGGGUCACAUAGAGUUUACUUUUCUAGAUCAUCCUCACACGCGCGGCUGGUGUUGUCUUUUUGGAAAAUGUUUAUUUUAACCGGCUGAUUUUCACGCCGCGUAAACCACCUGGAACACACGACACGUGUCCAAUCUACGACCGCUUGCAACUGCCCCAGCAUUAUCUUCUUCGGGUCCACACGUUCGCCCCCACUCCUUUUUCCCCUCACUUGUUAUCACACGCGAGAGAGGAUGCAUGGUGUUACGG
RNAcentral lists this long non-coding RNA (581 nucleotides) under Hordeum vulgare. RNAcentral describes it as "long non-coding RNA (HVUL_LNC021187)". Lineage: Eukaryota; Viridiplantae; Streptophyta; Magnoliopsida; Poales; Poaceae. The record is from RNAcentral.